Molecule: long non-coding RNA, 888 nt
Organism: Cotesia glomerata
Lineage: Eukaryota; Metazoa; Arthropoda; Insecta; Hymenoptera; Braconidae
Exons: 3
Source: RefSeq, a predicted model, not a curated record
UUCUGAUCCGCCGUGGAAGCUCCUGAAUCAUUUUUUAGUUUAUCUUAAUUUGUAUGCGGCUUUGGCUCGGUUCCAAUUUUCUAACACAUGAAACGCGAAUCUCAAUGUCUCUGUCGCAUAGUUUAGUUUCUCUCCGUUCGUACUACUCGAUAGUACAAUGUAUAACUCAACAAUUCAAGUGGUACAACCACAACUAUAACUGCAAUAAAAAAACACACUCACCCUGAAAAUUUUGUACAAGUAAAAGUAGUUUCCAGUAAUCAGACCAAGAACUCGCCAAAAAUAAUAGAACAAGACAAGCUUCCUUCGAAAACAAUUUUUAUUAUUAUACGCUGACAUUAUGCAACAUAAAAAGCGGCUCGAUUAGCCAAUAACUGAUAAAGUUCAUAGGGUAUUGAAAAAUAUAAACGUCAGAGCACACGAGCGUCACAUCUUUCCUUCUCGGAUUGCAAUCGAUAGAGAGCGUCAUGCCGGCGCCGAAGGUCUUUCUUCAACACUAUACACUAGCAUAUACACACUCUUCCUAAUGUUUAAUAAUUUAUCAUCCUCAUUAUUCUAUUUACCGAAUACAAGCUCACCCCCUCACCCUAUAAAUAUUCAAACGUCUAUCGCUAUUUAUAAAUACAGACAAAUUUAUCUAAGCUUUAUCAAUAAUACAUAGAAAAGUUUGGAUUUUUUCUAUCAAGAUAUUUUAUUUUGCUUAGUUUUUUGGGAAAAGGUUCCCAGACAUAAAUCAGCUGAUUUAUGUCUGACUGAGUAUUGAAGUAUGGGGUGAUUGAUGGAUCACUGUCUGGCUAAAUAAUUUAACAAAAUUUGUGAAUAAAUUGCUGAUAUUUUGAGUUAAUGAUUGGAUAUUACCAAAUUGCAGUCACUAUUAAAAUAUUUAAA